AAAAAUAAAUAAUUUAAAAAUAAAAAAAAUAAUUUAAAAAAAAUAAUUUUAAUAAAAACCUUGAUAGUCAACCUAUAGAACUCCGAAAAUACUUCCUCAAUUGUUAUUCUAAUAGACUAGCUACUAAUUUAAUUGUUGGGCUUGGAGGAAACCACUCUUCUAAAGGAUAUCAAGGAAGGCACCUGUGCUAUGUAUUAGCUAGGCAAAUGGUUGAAGUGAGGCAAGGGGCUGAAGGGAUCGAUAUUGCACCACUCACUGACCCCCUGGCCCUAUUAUGAGGGUGUUUUGUGACAGUUCAACCCUCUGUGAGCGCCCAACUAAACCAGAGUCGAGUAUAAACACCAGAUCGGAGCACUUGUUGACUGAACUGAUCCAUAAUAAUUAUUGCCAGGAUUGCAGAGCCCCUAGAGAAGCUUGUUAUAGCAGUGGACGAAGCUAAUUUAAGAGCCGACUAUCCUCCGAUCAUCAAUCAUGUCCAUUAUAGAGCAAGGUCGAUGGAUGGCAAGGUCCUCAUGUGGGCAAGCAGCGUUAACCCCUACAGCUGUGGACCUGAAUCUAACAUUACAACAUGAACUAUUUUCACUUACUUUGAACUUUCGCAUUAUUAUGUAAAACAAAAAUAAAAAAUGCUAGCAAAAACUUUUGUGGGUUCUAUAAUUAU
Molecule: long non-coding RNA, 661 nt
Organism: Halichondria panicea
Lineage: Eukaryota; Metazoa; Porifera; Demospongiae; Suberitida; Halichondriidae
Exons: 3
Source: RefSeq, a predicted model, not a curated record